This is a non-coding RNA of Candidatus Woesebacteria bacterium, 153 nucleotides long. Lineage: Bacteria; Candidatus Woeseibacteriota. The record is from Rfam.
GAAAACUUUACUUGGCUGGAUAUUUGAAUGACGGGUACGACCCGAAAAAUAUUCCAGCUCUUUUAGAACAGAGAUUUACGUUGCCCUUACCGUACAAAGAAGGAGAAAAACCUCUAAAGAUAGGUGGUGUUAUGGAUAGAGUGGAUCUACAGA